This 477-nucleotide ribosomal RNA is filed under the name uncultured organism. RNAcentral's name for it is "partial 16S ribosomal RNA". It matches the Rfam family "Bacterial small subunit ribosomal RNA", at positions 332 to 800 of the family's 1533-position model. The record is from RNAcentral.
UACACUCCUGCGGGAGGCAGCAGUGGGGAAUUUUGGACAAUGGGCGAAAGCCUGAUCCAGCAAUGCCGCGUGAGUGAAGAAGGCCUUCGGGUUGUAAAGCUCUUUUGUCAGGGAAUAAACGGUGAAAGCUAAUAUCUUUUGCUAAUGACGGUACCUGAAGAAUAAGCACCGGCUAACUACGUGCCAGCAGCCGCGGUAAUACGUAGGGUGUAAGCGUUAAUCGGAAUUACUGGGCGUAAAGCGUGCGCAGGCGGUUUUGUAAGUCUGAUGUGAAAUCCCCGGGCUCAACCUGGGAAUUGCAUUGGAGACUGCAAGGCUAGAAUCUGGCAGAGGGGGGUAGAAUUCCACGUGUAGCAGUGAAAUGCGUAGAUAUGUGGAGGAACACCGAUGGCGAAGGCAGCCCCCUGGGUCAAGAUUGACGCUCAUGCACGAAAGCGUGGGGAGCAAACAGGAUUAGAUACCCCUGUAGUCCCAUGA